UCCACCCGGGGAGCUUCGGCAAGAAGCUGAGAUUCCGAUGGCGGCCGCGCCCCGCGCGCGGCGCGCGGCGCGAGAGACCCGUCGAACCUGAUCCAGACAAUGCUGGCGUAGGGAAGGUG
Molecule: non-coding RNA, 119 nt
Filed under: Achromobacter xylosoxidans
Lineage: Bacteria; Pseudomonadati; Pseudomonadota; Betaproteobacteria; Burkholderiales; Alcaligenaceae
Description: TPP riboswitch (THI element)
Rfam family: TPP riboswitch aptamer (THI element)
About the family: Vitamin B(1) in its active form thiamin pyrophosphate (TPP) is an essential coenzyme that is synthesised by coupling of pyrimidine and thiazole moieties in bacteria. The previously detected thiamin-regulatory element, thi box was extended, resulting in a new, highly conserved RNA secondary structure, the THI element, which is widely distributed in eubacteria and also occurs in some archaea.
Source: RNAcentral